Molecule: transfer RNA, 75 nt
Filed under: Candidatus Doudnaibacteriota bacterium
Lineage: Bacteria; Candidatus Doudnaibacteriota
Description: Candidatus Doudnabacteria bacterium (hot springs metagenome) tRNA-Gln
Rfam family: tRNA
About the family: Transfer RNA (tRNA) molecules are approximately 80 nucleotides in length.
Source: RNAcentral
UGGGGUGUAGCCAAGUGGUAAGGCAGCGCCCUUUGGAGGCGCCAUUCGAUGGUUCGAAUCCAUCCACCCCAGCCA